AUGAACGCUGGCGGCGUGCCUAAUACAUGCAAGUCGAACGAACAGACGAGGAGCUUGCUCCUCUGACGUUAGCGGCGGACGGGUGAGUAACACGUGGAUAACCUACCUAUAAGACUGGGAUAACUUCGGGAAACCGGAGCUAAUCCCGGAUAAUAUAUUGAACCGCUUGGUUCAAUAGUGAAAGACGGUUUUGCUGUCACUUAUAGAUGGAUCCGCGCCGCAUUAGCUAGUUGGUAAGGUAACGGCUUACCAAGGCAACGAUGCGUAGCCGACCUGAGAGGGUGGUCGGCCACCCUGGAACUGAGACACGGUCCAGACUCCUACGGGAGGCAGCAGUAGGGAAUCUUCCGCAGUAGGCGAGAGCCUGACGGAGCAACGCCGCGUGAGUGAUGAAGGUCUUCGGAUCGUGAAACUCUGUUAUUAGUGAAGAACAAAUGUGGAAGUAACUAUGCACGUAUUGACGGUACCGAAUCAGAAAGCCACGGCUAACUACGUG
This 496-nucleotide ribosomal RNA is filed under the name uncultured bacterium. RNAcentral describes it as "partial 16S ribosomal RNA". It matches the Rfam family "Bacterial small subunit ribosomal RNA", at positions 29 to 507 of the family's 1533-position model. The record is from RNAcentral.